Molecule: long non-coding RNA, 856 nt
Organism: Epinephelus lanceolatus (giant grouper)
Lineage: Eukaryota; Metazoa; Chordata; Actinopteri; Perciformes; Serranidae
Source: RefSeq, a predicted model, not a curated record
AUCAGGCUGCAUUCACACCAAAUCAGCUGUCGUAGUGAUAAGCCUGCAGAGCCGGGCGGCGGUGUGGGAGUAUGACUUAAAUGGCCCAUUUGUUGAGGUGUGAAGGGUGGAGACCAACUAUAGAAAGCCAAUCUCCUCAUCUGAGCAACAUAAAUAUUUGUCUUCGACUGCACUACGUGAUUGGCCACCACAGUGGGACGUCAGGUUGCAUUUCUCCAAAGGGCAGGAAGGCGUGAGGGGAGGAUGUGAAAGAGGAUGUGACCGUUUAAAAAGAGCAAACUGCCAACAUUUUGUGAAGCAUGGACACUGGCUCAUUUGGAUGGUGCUGGCACCUGGAUCGUGAUUGCUCCUGCUGCUUGGGUCCUGCAUGACGCCCACUGCUGCUGUUAUUAUCAUUAGUCAUAUCUCUGUAAUUGUUAUAGUUCUUAAUGUUAUUAUUGUUCUUGCUGUUCAUCUCUGUCUCUCUGUCCCUUUCUCUUUCCCCGUAUUUAUGUGUAUCCCUCUCUGUCUUUCCCUCCCUCUCCCCCUCUGUGUCUUUCACUCUGGAUCUCCCUUUUUCUCUCUCCAUCACUCUUUCUCUCUCCCCCUCCUUCUCUCUAUCCCUGUCUUUUGCCCUCUCUCCGUUCCUCUCCGUCUCUGUCUCGAGUUCUGCUCGAAGUUACUGCUACUUUAAAGGGCGUUUCACUUUGCCACUGUUGCGUACGUGCUCGCUCUUGGUGGGAAUUUCCACCAUGCGUGCUCAUGUCGCAAACAGUUGGGUCUCUGUAAAUUAGUCUGGACCUGCUCCAUAUGAAAAGUGUCCUGAGAUCAUUUUAGUCAUGAUUUGGCACUCUAUAAAUAAACUGUCUUGACUUGA